RNAcentral lists this non-coding RNA (69 nucleotides) under Aggregatibacter aphrophilus. The record is from RNAcentral. Lineage: Bacteria; Pseudomonadati; Pseudomonadota; Gammaproteobacteria; Pasteurellales; Pasteurellaceae.
AUAAUGAUAGUCGCCAAAAGCGGCUUUUUUUAUAGCCGAAAUCUAGUCAAAUCAAACAUUUCAAAGGGU